AUGGACGUUUUACUGAAAACAGUGAAGUGUUACACAGGAAAUCCAGAUUAACCCCUUGACGUUGAAAAAUUUAUAUCUCAGGUCACAAAUAUCCAAAUUGAGUAAAUCCUGCGGCCAUAUUUAGAAAACUCAAAGAGGACACACAGAAAUAUUUUUAGAGUCUCAAAUGGAUACUUAUAGAAUUGAAAAUAUCGUUUUGAAGUUGACCCCAAAACUGUUCCGUUUCUGCCUAUUUCAUCACUUGCAAGAAAAAAAAAACUUUAAAAUGUCUCUUAACAUAACAUGAAAGAUGUGAUUACAAAAUUUGGUUUUAAUAUCAUAUUACAUCAUGUCAUGUACAUGUUUUUAUAUAAUACGAUAAGAAAAACAGAUGGAAAGCAGUCAUCGAACAAAACAUAUAAAAGGAAACUUUCGAUGCAAAAUAUCUUUGUCCUUAACCCAUCAUCACUUAUGCC
RNAcentral lists this long non-coding RNA (455 nucleotides) under Olea europaea subsp. europaea. The record is from RNAcentral. Lineage: Eukaryota; Viridiplantae; Streptophyta; Magnoliopsida; Lamiales; Oleaceae.